AAGUCGUAACGCCCUGCACGCCUAGCAAUCCCUGGUAAAUCAUUGUCUGAACAGAUUUUGAGUCAGGGACUUCUGACGUGACGCGAAGAAUGGUAUUGAUACUCCAUCUGCGUGGGAUGACAUGCGACGUAGCAAAUCACUUGGCUCCCCAAGCAACCAUGUUUCUAAAAGCGGCUCAUGGAAGCGUAAGGAGACGCUGUAACGUUUUGCUGUAGGCCAACACGGCCGGCAAUCCAAGUGGUUGUACUUCGGUACCCUCACAUCGGCACACCACCGAUGAUAUGUCAAUUUCGCGAAUGGACUAAAAGCCUCGCACCAAAAACCGAACAACUGUUAACAAUGGAUAUCUUGGUUCUC
Molecule: unclassified non-coding RNA, 357 nt
Filed under: fungal sp.
Lineage: Eukaryota; Fungi
Description: partial internal transcribed spacer region
Source: RNAcentral